RNAcentral lists this long non-coding RNA (642 nucleotides) under Heterocephalus glaber (naked mole-rat). RNAcentral's name for it is "lncRNA (ENSHGLG00100033963.1)". The record is from RNAcentral. Lineage: Eukaryota; Metazoa; Chordata; Mammalia; Rodentia; Bathyergidae.
CAGAAGGGAAAGCAGAGCCGGUUCCCUUCUUCCCUCCUCCUCCUCUGCCCAAACCCCUUCCUGUCCCCUCUUCUUUCUCUCUCACUUGCUCCGCCUGGAGCAGCUGCUGAAUGGUGAAAGAGCAUAACUGCCUUUCCUGCCAGCGGCUGAGAUAAGAGCCAGGUGGUCUCAGUGAAUGACCAAGGGCCAAUGAGAUGGAAGAGCUGAAUCUUAUUCCUGACCAUUCUGACCAACAUAGUGGUCUCAGCAGCAUGGAGCAGGUAUCCAUCCCUUGGGACUCGUCUGAAUCCAUAGAAUGAGGGGCGGACCUUUGUCCAUCUCCUCCCUGGAGGGGAGAUUCAGUUCUUCAGAAACCCACACCAAUGAGGAAGAAGAAGGAGGAGGAAGAGGAGGAGAAGGAGCAUGAAGAGGAGGGGGAGGUGUGUGGGAAGGAGAGGAGAAAGAAGAAAAACCAACAUCAUGAUUAUUAGAAGCGUUCGUCCCCACGUAAUCAGAUUUCUGAGUUGACUGGUAGACAUAUGAUUUCAUCUGGCUAGUUGCACUUAUACCAAAAGCAAAGUUUCUUUUUACCAAAUCCUAUUUCCUAUUGCUGGGACCUGGGGAAAUAUUACCUAGUAUUAUGGCUUGGUCUAGAUGUCGCCC